GCUGUCAAGCCGUACACGUGAGCGCGAUUGCGCCUAAGGUUAUUUUCAUCAGAUUGCCGGCGAGUCACCGGUAACAACUACCGCUCGUGAUUUAAAAUUCAGACGACAUUUUCAGUCCGCGUGCAGGUCGCCCAGCAAAAUGGAGCUGAAUGCCGGGAGGGGAAUGCGUCUGAGAAUGCUGACUAGAUUGGACCGGACCAAAGGAGGGGACGUGACUCCAAUGAAUCCGUCCCGUGGCUGUAAAAUGGGACAGCAAAAAUCUUUCAUUUUGCACGGCAAUGAGGCGCCUUCAUCGUAGUGUCACAGGAGGGAUUACAGCUGCUGAGUCAUGUGUGGGCAGAGCAGGUAAGCAGCCAGCGUUGCUAUGGCGUCGCGCUUGAAAGGAUUCAAAGUGUAUGUUAGAUGUCAGACUUAAAAAAAAAUC
Molecule: long non-coding RNA, 424 nt
Organism: Syngnathus typhle (broad-nosed pipefish)
Lineage: Eukaryota; Metazoa; Chordata; Actinopteri; Syngnathiformes; Syngnathidae
Exons: 3
Source: RefSeq, a predicted model, not a curated record